CCAGCACCUGCGGUAAUUCCAGCUCCAGUAGCGUAUAUUAAAGUUGUUGCAGUUAAAAAGCUCGUAGUUGGAUGUCUGGCGUGGUGGUUUUUGCGGCUUGGGAGUGGUCAUUGUGCCCUCUUUGUAGCCGGGCCGCCUGUCAUCUUUGGUGUGUGUGUGGGUGGGUGGGGCGUUUACUCGUCCCCUCACCCUCUACGCACACCUCGUUUACUUUGAAAAAAUUAGAGUGUUUAAAGCAGGCAGUAAUGCUUCUGAAUAUACUAGCAUGGAAUAAUAAGAUAGGUCUUUGGUACUAUUUUGUUGGUUUGCGCACCAGAGAAAUGAUUAAUAGGGACAGUUGGGGCUAUUCGUAUUCCAUUGUCAGAGGUGAAAUUCUUGGAUUUCUGGAAGACGAACUACUGCGAAAGCAUUUAGCAAGGAUGUUUUCAUUAAUCAAGAACGAAAGU
RNAcentral lists this ribosomal RNA (446 nucleotides) under uncultured diatom. RNAcentral describes it as "SSU rRNA". It matches the Rfam family "Eukaryotic small subunit ribosomal RNA", at positions 567 to 990 of the family's 1831-position model. The record is from RNAcentral. Lineage: Eukaryota; Bacillariophyta.